This is an RNA transcript of Solea senegalensis (Senegalese sole), 1823 nucleotides long. It is a transcript of the gene named CTD nuclear envelope phosphatase 1a, with no coding region annotated. NCBI's taxonomy places the organism in Eukaryota, Metazoa, Chordata, Actinopteri, Pleuronectiformes, Soleidae. The record is from RefSeq and is a predicted model, not a curated record. The transcript is spliced from 8 exons.
UUCCUCGCGGAAGUGACGGCAAGGCGGCGAUGGCGGCUCGCAGUUUCAUUCCGGAUUUCCACUGGACUACAAACUGAUUUGGACCGGGCCGGCUGGACUUUUAGCAACUUCAGUAAAGCUGUCUAUUUUCGGACGCUGUGCAGAGUUUAGUCGCACUGAACUGGUGCUUGUCAACGAGCGGCUCCACCGCUUUUUCGGGGUAUUUUUGUCCAAGGUUCAAGGUGGUCACCCCGUCGAGCUAGCGGUAGCUCCGCGGCUACUUGCUAACGUUAGUUGGCAGACAGCUAGCUCCCGAGCUAGCCUAAUUAGCUGCCCACAUUAACGCCUGUGAUCCUUUGGUGUAAAUCGGAAAGAAAGGAAGAGAAGACGAACGACAGUACGAAUGCUGGCUGCCGUCAAACGCCAAAGAAGAAGCAGAAGGAGCCGCAGCAGCGUGCUAAUGUCCAUGCGACAGUAGCCGUCGUGCAGCAGCUUCUCCUUUGCCCACGUCCACGUUUGUCUUUCACAGUGACUGUGAGAAUGCACUUUAUUUAUUAUCGAUAACUGUGCCACAAGUGUGCAGAGCGAGGUACUCACACGUUUGCUUGGCCUCUUGAUGAUCUGAAAAGCUACGGUGGCUAAAGACGGAUUUUGAGUCACUGGUAGGCAAGUUCCCUCUGCAGUUACCCCCCAAACAACUUGGAACUGAGAGUUAAGGUUGAGUGACUGUGGGGUCUGUGCGGGCUCAUCAACAUGCUGAAGACCCGGCAUUGUUUACUUGGCAUCCGCACUUUUCUCGGCAUGACGUCUAGAAUAUGGGGCCUCUUUAUGUACAUCCUCAGGAAGCACCUACGGACGAUAAUCCAGUAUCAGACGGUGCGAUACGACACUCUGCCUCUGUCUCCUAUCUCCAAAAACAGACUCAAUGCAGUAAAGAGGAAGAUUCUGGUUCUGGACCUGGAUGAGACACUAAUCCACUCUCACCAUGAUGGGGUCCUCAGACCCACAGUGAAAGCGGGCACACCGCCAGACUUCAUUCUGAAGGUUAACCAGCAGCUUCGUCUAAAUGAACUGGGCUCCUCUGUUUCCCUUCCAAUGCAGGUCGUCAUUGAUAAGCACCCAGUCAGAUUCUUUGUACAUAAAAGGCCACAUGUUGACUUCUUUUUAGAAGUGGUGAGCCAGUGGUAUGAGCUGGUGGUUUUUACAGCUAGUAUGGAGAUUUAUGGCUCAGCAGUGGCAGACAAACUGGACAACAACAGGAACAUCCUGAGACGCAGAUACUACAGACAGUCUCUCUUUUUUGAUGGUGCCACGGACUCUCCUUUUGUUUCUCUUUCCAGCACUGUACAUUGGAUCUAGGUAGUUAUAUUAAAGACCUGUCUGUAGUACACGAUGACCUGUCUAGUAUUGUCAUCCUGGACAACUCGCCUGGUGCUUAUCGUAACCAUCCAGACAAUGCAAUACCCAUCAAGUCCUGGUUCAGCGACCCUAGUGACACAGCACUUCUUAACUUGCUGCCUAUGCUGGAUGCACUAAGGUUUACUGCUGAUGUCCGCUCCGUCCUCAGUCGAAACCUCCACCAGCACCGACUCUGGUGAUUGGCUGAAUCAAGAGGGGUGGGACUUGUUGACCAGCCUCUUCCUCUCUGCUGGCUUCUUUCCUUCCUGCCCUCCGUUCCCACACAGACGACCCACCGGCCCUCUGUCAGUCCUCUACCAUGUGUCCUGAGGACAUGAGGGGUUGGGGUGACCGCCUAACAUGGAAUGAACAGUAUGGGAUCACCAGAGCCCAAGAAAUACUAGAGGGAGGGAGAGCCAGCUUCUUCUUUUUUUUUUUUCUUUUUU